Long non-coding RNA from Hydractinia symbiolongicarpus, 356 nucleotides. RefSeq lists it as uncharacterized. Lineage: Eukaryota; Metazoa; Cnidaria; Hydrozoa; Anthoathecata; Hydractiniidae. The transcript has 3 exons. The record is from RefSeq and is a predicted model, not a curated record.
CAGAUUAAAUAACAUCAACUUUCAGUGUGUCUUAGUUAUCUUUAAAAAGAAUACAGUGGUGGGAUUGUUACAAAAAACUAGAUAAGUGACUUUUCACGUAUCUUUAAAAUCAUAUUUUUAUAUACUUUAUGUAACUUAUAUUUUAUAUACUCCUUGUGUCGUAAAAAGACAACAUUUUAUAAUUUCUGAGAAAGUGAUAACUAAGACUUGGGACGAUUGUAGCAAAAGUUAAAAGAGUCAAUGUUGAAUGAUCAAAAAACCCUUGGAGACGCGCGCUAAAAAAUUAAAUAUGGAAGAUAAAGUGGAGAAAGUGGAAUUACUUCAGAAUACGCAAAGCAAAUUAUCAGCACGACUCA